ACUCCUACGGGAGGCAGCAGUGGGGAAUAUUGCACAAUGGGGGAAACCCUGAUGCAGCCAUGCCGCGUGUGUGAAGAAGGCCUUCGGGUUGUAAAGCACUUUCAGUAGGGAGGAAGGUAGUGUAGUUAACACCUGCACUAUUUGACGUUACCUACAGAAGAAGCACCGGCUAACUCCGUGCCAGCAGCCGCGGUAAUACGGAGGGUGCGAGCGUUAAUCGGAAUUACUGGGCGUAAAGCGCAUGCAGGCGGCCUGUUAAGUCAGAUGUGAAAGCCCGGGGCUUAACCUCGGAAUUGCAUUUGAAACUGGCAGGCUAGAGUCUUGUAGAGGGGGGUAGAAUUUCAGGUGUAGCGGUGAAAUGCGUAGAGAUCUGAAGGAAUACCAGUGGCGAAGGCGGCCCCCUGGACAAAGACUGACGCUCAGAUGCGAAAGCUGGGGAGCAAACAGGAUUAGAUACCCUGUAGCACAGAG
RNAcentral lists this ribosomal RNA (471 nucleotides) under uncultured bacterium. RNAcentral describes it as "bacterial SSU rRNA". It matches the Rfam family "Bacterial small subunit ribosomal RNA", at positions 335 to 799 of the family's 1533-position model. The record is from RNAcentral.